This is a long non-coding RNA of Nannospalax galili (Upper Galilee mountains blind mole rat), 1926 nucleotides long. RefSeq lists it as uncharacterized. The transcript has 5 exons. The record is from RefSeq and is a predicted model, not a curated record. Lineage: Eukaryota; Metazoa; Chordata; Mammalia; Rodentia; Spalacidae.
GAGAAAUCAAGCUGGUGCUGACUUCAGAGCCUCAUCUCUACUGGCUAGUGUUUAUAGUACCAGAACGUGCUAUGCAUGCUAACAGGAAGGGAAAUAAUGAUCAUCAGACUUACCCAGCUGUGAACCCUGUGACCUACAACAACUGUCAGCAGUUUACAUCUUCUUGGACUCUUGGACGAAUCAGGCUGGAGAAUGGUUUCCCUAGAACAUGCCCUGAUCUAUAAGAGGCAAAGUGGAAUUCCUCUGAACUCGCCUCAGACCCUAGAAACGAAGCUACACUGAUUUGAAUCCCCUGCAGCUCAUUCUGUAGAAGGACAUCAUGGUCUGUAUGAUCUGGAGACAGACACUUCAGGAACCUGUGGUGUUUGCGAUACAAGUUUCCUGACUUUUAUGUGAAGUUGGGCCCACCACUCAUUCAAUGGCUAUUGUAGGAAAGAAAGCUCCAAAGAUUUACAGCAAUAUUAUUAGUACCAACAACCAUUAGUACUCACUUCAAGAGUGACUAAUUAGAGUUCUACUAGGUAACUUAAAUGUGGUUAUUAACGUGACAAGCAGAUCAAUAUGUGAUAAAGCAAUACCAUUUGCCAGUUCAAAACAAAUUUAUUCCGAUUAUAAUUCUCAAGUGUCAGGUUGUCAAAUGUAUUGAUCUCAAGAGACGAAUUAUAAUUAAUGCAUUACUGAAUGUCCAGUUUACCAGCUUUGCUACUGAUAGUAAAAUAUUUUUAUCUCCAGCAAGGAAAGAUCAGAGAAGUUCUGAAAAAUUUGUGUUUCAUAAAUUUAAACAUGUUGCAGUUUGAAUUUCAUGCAUUUUAACACCCCAAGAGUCAUACUUUUGCAUCAUAGAAAACAAAGGGGGUGGGGCGAGCGACUGGAGAGAUGGCUCCAUGGUUAAGAGCACUGGCUGCUCUUGCAGAGGACAUGGGUUCGAUUCCUAGCACCUACAUGGCAGCUAACGACUGUCUGUAACUCCAGUUCCAGAGGAUCCAAUGCCCUUUUUCUGACCUCUACAGGCAUUGAACAACAUGGGGGUGGGUAAAAAUGCAGAUGUCAUUUCUGAUUUUGGGUCUUGGAGUCAAGAGAAGGGAACCAGCGAAUCAGGUACUGUAGAGCAAGAGGAAGGGAAGACACUUCCCCAGGGAGAAUUCCCAAAGAGCGAUGAGCAACAGGGCCUGAACGAUGCCUUCAAGUGUUCUACGUGCUGUGUUCCUUCUUGGACAAUGGAAACUGUCAGUAAAAUUUGCAUGCAUCGGUGAUUGUGUUCCUGGGAGAUGGAGAACAUAGCAGAAAGAUGACCAUGGUCUGUGGAGAAGAAAGACCCGCAUGGCUCUUGUGACGCCUUCCCAUCUCCACCACUGGACCAAAGGCUUCUCAGCAGAAACUGUGCACUUAGUGUCCACACCCACAGUUCCCUUCACUGCCAAGGCUAUACGCCUGGUUAAACCGAACUGAAUAAAUACAGGACAAAUAUCGUGAAUUAGAUUCAACAAAAUGCCCUUUUUGGCUCCUUUAAAGCAGCUACUGGAAAGAGAGAGAGCAAGAGUGAGAGAGAGCUGUUGGAGGGGAUACAUCUUCUUUCCUAACUGACUAGAGUCUAUUGCUGCUGCAUCACUGCAAAGAACACCCGGAAGAGAGCCAGGCCUGAAGCCCAGCUGACAGCAGCAAGGUCCUCCAUGUCCGCAUCAUUUCCUCGCCGCUGAAAGUUGUGUCAUCACAGUCCCUGAGGCCACUAGUCCAUGCACGACCUUCAACCUUGCUUUUUUAAUAAUGACGCUGCAAACACAAAUGACCUACACAGUUAAAUCUCUUGCUGUAAUUGAUGCUUAUUUCUAUCAAGAGAAAUAAAACAGAAAGCUAAUUUUUUUGAUAGCUAGCUUUUUCUUCUUAAAACAUAUUUUACUUACUAUUUUUAUUUUAUGUGUCUGAUAG